AGCUCAGUAGGUAAAGCGCUUGCCUCGCAAGCAUGAGAGCCUGAGUUUGAUCCUCAG
This 57-nucleotide transfer RNA is filed under the name Mus musculus (house mouse). It matches the Rfam family "tRNA", at positions 9 to 63 of the family's 71-position model. From Rfam's summary of the family: Transfer RNA (tRNA) molecules are approximately 80 nucleotides in length. Their secondary structure includes four short double-helical elements and three loops (D, anti-codon, and T loops). Further hydrogen bonds mediate the characteristic L-shaped molecular structure. tRNAs have two regions of fundamental functional importance: the anti-codon, which is responsible for specific mRNA codon recognition, and the 3' end, to which the tRNAs corresponding amino acid is attached (by aminoacyl-tRNA synthetases). tRNAs cope with the degeneracy of the genetic code in two manners: having more than one tRNA (with a specific anti-codon) for a particular amino acid; and 'wobble' base-pairing, i.e. permitting non-standard base-pairing at the 3rd anti-codon position. RNAcentral also lists the same sequence under 1 other name. The record is from Rfam by way of RNAcentral. Lineage: Eukaryota; Metazoa; Chordata; Mammalia; Rodentia; Muridae.